ACGCAGCCCACCAGCUUGCAGGGAGGGCAGACCCUGGGGGAUGUGAGGGAGGCUUUCUCACGCAGACCCUAAAACGGUGAGCGCCAGGGAGCCCCGCCUGCUUGUCCCCUCCCCAGAUCCCUCGGGCUCUGGAGACCUUGCGGGCCCCCUGUCCGUGACCACCUGAAACAGGUCCUGGAGCUGCUACUGCUGGCUUAGGCUGGUUGGUGGAAAGGAUCCAGGGCUGUUGUGAAGGCCUUGGGGAGUCCAGAAGCCGCCUGGCACCUUCUGGGUCCAGACGCUGCCCUUCAGCCCUGCCAUUUCAGCCAGCCUCAGCGUCGCUGUAGAGGCAGGCCGCCCUUUCUGCCACUGUCUGGCUGGGCUGGGCCGUGGGAGUGCUGGCCAACGUGCCAGGCAGGGAGGACCUGAAUUCCUGAAGGUGGUGGUGGCAGCUGUUAGGGUCCACAGGUUAAUGAUCUCCAACGUCACACAGAAGAGAAUGUGCUGAGGUGUGACCUCCCUCACCCUGCCUUGGCUGCGUGGGGCACCGUCUCUCCAGGACUCACCCUGCCCCCCAAUAGACUGAAGUCUGAAGAUCAGCCCAGUCUUCCUUCAGGCCUCAAUGCCCUCUCACUUCCCCAGCCCGAGGGACUCCUGGCUCUUCUCGGAGGCUGCUCUGUGGGGUCCCUCCCUUGGGCCUUUGCUAAUGCUGUGCCCUCUGCCUGUGCCAGAGGUGGGCCUGGGCCCGUUUCUCAGGGAGCUCCUGAACACCAAGAAAUUGAAUUGCUUUGUAAAUAAACAAAAAGUGCCAAACAA
This 795-nucleotide long non-coding RNA is filed under the name Homo sapiens (human). RNAcentral describes it as "non-protein coding lnc-AGRP-1:6". Lineage: Eukaryota; Metazoa; Chordata; Mammalia; Primates; Hominidae. The record is from RNAcentral.